Non-coding RNA from Podarcis lilfordi (Lilford's wall lizard), 76 nucleotides. The record is from the annotation of a GenBank genome assembly. Lineage: Eukaryota; Metazoa; Chordata; Lepidosauria; Squamata; Lacertidae.
GCAUAGCUCAGUUGGUUAGAGCAUGGUGCUGACACUGCCAAGGCUGCAAGUCCGGUCCCUGUAUGGGACAGCUGCA